GACAGAGGUGCCGAGCGUUAGGCGGAAUCACUGGGCUUAAAGCGUGUGUAGGCGGACUUCUAAGUACCUUGUGAAAUCCCACGGCUCAACCGUGGAACUGCUUGGUAUACUGGUCGUCUUGAGCCAUCUAGGGGCUGUCGGAACAAACGGUGGAGCGGUGAAAUGCGUAGAUAUCAUUUGGAACGCCAAAGGUGAAAACAGACAGCUGGGGAUGUGCUGACGCUGAGACACGAAAGCCAGGGGAGCAAACGGG
Molecule: ribosomal RNA, 253 nt
Filed under: uncultured bacterium
Lineage: Bacteria
Description: partial 16S ribosomal RNA
Rfam family: Bacterial small subunit ribosomal RNA
Source: RNAcentral